RNAcentral lists this ribosomal RNA (254 nucleotides) under uncultured bacterium. RNAcentral's name for it is "partial small subunit ribosomal RNA". It matches the Rfam family "Bacterial small subunit ribosomal RNA", at positions 26 to 286 of the family's 1533-position model. The record is from RNAcentral.
AGGACGAACGCUGGCGGCGUGCUUAACACAUGCAAGUCGAGCGGAAAGGCCCUUCGGGGUACUCGAGCGGCGAACGGGUGAGUAACACGUGAGCAACCUGCCCCUGGCUCUGGGAUAGCCUCCGGAAACGGGGAUUAAUACCGGACAUGACUCCUGACCGCAUGGUUGGGGGUGGAAAGUUUUUCGGCCAGGGUGGGCUCGCGGCCUAUCAGCUUGUUGGGGGGGUGACGGCCCACCAAGGCGACGACGGGUAG